GGCAGUACUACGUUAUCGUGAUAUGUUACAUUUACUUCACAAGAGUUGUGGUUUAUGCUCUGGAGACCAUCACCUCUUAUCGGUAUCAGUGGACUAGUGUGGUGGCUGCUGAAGCUGCAACACUUGCCUUCUAUGCCUUCACGGGGUAUAACUUCAGGCCUAAGGCACACAAUCCAUAUUUUGCGAUUGAUGACGAGGAGGAAGAAGCUGCUUCUGAGGCACUCAAGCUUGAAGAUGAAUUUGAAUUAUAGAUAUCAUUUUUCACUCUAUGCAGAUACGUUUGAAGAGGCGCAAUUGAAAAUACUCAAUCUCAGAGAAGGCUCUAUAGUAACAUUUUUUAAAUCACUGCCUAGUUUGUUUGUUCAUUAGUGUGUAUAUUCAAUCUAAUAGAUAUCUGGUAUGCUUUUAUUACAAUGUUGAACUAUUCUGUUAUGAAUUGAACUCUGGUUUUCGA
This 454-nucleotide unclassified non-coding RNA is filed under the name Hevea brasiliensis (rubber tree). Lineage: Eukaryota; Viridiplantae; Streptophyta; Magnoliopsida; Malpighiales; Euphorbiaceae. The record is from RNAcentral.